This 859-nucleotide unclassified non-coding RNA is filed under the name Centruroides sculpturatus (bark scorpion). RNAcentral's name for it is "vesicle-associated membrane protein/synaptobrevin- binding protein-like, transcript variant X1". Lineage: Eukaryota; Metazoa; Arthropoda; Arachnida; Scorpiones; Buthidae. The record is from RNAcentral.
CUUGGCAGUCUGUCUCUGCUAACAAUUGCUUUUCUUUCCCAAGUAUAUUAUUAACAAUUAUGCUAUUUUAACAUUUUUCUCCGUAUAUCAUUAAGAUAGAUCAUUAUGAGAUAGAUUGUAUUGAUGAGAUAGAUCAUUGAAAAUAGGAAUGCCUAAACAAGAUUUAUUAAUAGAUCCAUCUAAUGAAAUCGAAUUCACGGGUCCUUUCGACGAAAUUUCGAUAUCUGAAUUAAUUCUCACCAACGUAACUAAGAAAAGAAUUUAUUUUAAAAUAAAGACUAAUCAACCCAAUAAAUACUCCAUUCGUCCUCCUAAAGGAACAAUAGCUCCCGAUGAAAUAAUUAUCGUCUUAAUUUCUCUUCUUCCGAAUAAGUAUGACCCCAAAGAGAAAGGAAGACAUAAAAUAAUGGUUCAGUACAUGGAUGCUCCACUUCACGAAGCUAGUCCAGUUGAAUCUUGGGAAAAUGUUGGUGUUAAUGAUAUUACGGAGAGAAAAUUGAAAUGCGUAUUUCACGACGAUGUCGACCAGAUUUCAUUCUCGGAUCUCUCUUUCGCUUCGACACUUCAUCAAUUGUCCUUUCACACUAAAUAAAUCUUCCCUCUGAGUCUUUUAAUAGACUCAAAAAUUAAUUUUGACUAAGGUCUCGAAAAUACCAGGGUCACCUUUGCUCGCUACCUUUGCUUCAACUACUGUUAACCCUCGAUCACAGGCAUCUAUAAUUACCAUCAGCUUUCCACAUUUAGAAGUAUCGUGUGGACAAACUUUAGAAACAAAAAUCGCCCCGUGUAGACCACCACAAAAUAAAGAGCACAAAUAUAAAGAUUUUAAUAAGAGUUACAAUGGAAGUAUAAUGACUCC